Molecule: ribosomal RNA, 497 nt
Filed under: uncultured bacterium
Lineage: Bacteria
Description: partial 16S ribosomal RNA
Rfam family: Bacterial small subunit ribosomal RNA
Source: RNAcentral
GAUGAACGCUGGCGGCGUGCCUAAUACAUGCAAGUCGAGCGAACAGACGAGGAGCUUGCUCCUCUGACGUUAGCGGCGGACGGGUGAGUAACACGUGGAUAACCUACCUAUAAGACUGGGAUAACUUCGGGAAACCGGAGCUAAUACCGGAUAAUAUAUUUAACCGCAUGGUUCAAUAGUGAAAGACGGUUUUGCUGUCACUUAUAGAUGGAUCCGCGCCGCAUUAGCUAGUUGGUAAGGUAACAGCUUACCAAGGCAACGAUGCGUAGCCGACCUGAGAGGGUGAUCGGCCACACUGGAACUGAGACACGGUCCAGACUCCUACGGGAGGCAGCAGUAGGGAAUCUUCCGCAAUGGGCGAAAGCCUGACGGAGCAACGCCGCGUGAGUGAUGAAGGUCUGCGGAUCGUAAAACUCUGUUAUUAGGGAAGAACAAAUGUGUAAGUAACUAUGCACGUCUUGACGGUACCUAAUCAGAAAGCCACGGCUAACUACGUG